GCGAACUAAAUUAUUUGGACUAUAAUUUUGGAGUAAUAUUUUAUUUAGAGUGAAAUAAAAUAAUAUUCAAUUAAAUGGGAUAAGGUAAAAUAUCAAGUUAUGCGUGUGAGUAAAUUUAUGCUUGGUUUGAUUAAAAGUAAAAAAUUAUUUGAUAAAUUCACAUUUCCAGCUAAACAAUUUUUAAAUUUUAUUUCAAACUAACUUUUGAAAUAUCAAAUGUUAUAUUACGAAUCAAACGCC
RNAcentral lists this long non-coding RNA (240 nucleotides) under Solanum tuberosum (potato). Its description in RNAcentral is "long non-coding RNA (STUB_LNC010056)". The record is from RNAcentral. Lineage: Eukaryota; Viridiplantae; Streptophyta; Magnoliopsida; Solanales; Solanaceae.